This 801-nucleotide ribosomal RNA is filed under the name Triticum aestivum (bread wheat). Its description in RNAcentral is "partial small subunit ribosomal RNA". The record is from RNAcentral. Lineage: Eukaryota; Viridiplantae; Streptophyta; Magnoliopsida; Poales; Poaceae.
AUGAGGAGGUACAGUCCCCAAUACCGGAGUCCCCCAAGGAGGGGAUAUGGUGGCAGAGGUAGAAGUCCCCCAAGGAGGGGAUAUGGAGGACGGAGGGAGCAGGGUUCAGGAAGCCUCUUGGUCCGCAACAUCCCAUUGAGCUGCAGGCCGGAGGAUCUACGGGUUCCUUUUGAAAGGUUUGGUCCUGUUCGGGAUGUGUACCUGCCAAAGGAUUAUUACACCAGGGAGCCCCGAGGGUUUGCAUUUGUGGAGUUUGUUGACCCUUAUGAUGCCUCUGAUGCACAAUAUCACUUGAACCACACAGUAUUUUUUGGCCGAGAGAUAACUGUUGUUGUUGCUGCCGAGUCACGGAAAAGGCCAGAUGAUAUGCGUAAUAGGGCUAGAAUCAGGGGGUAUUCUGGUGAACCUGAAAGGCGUCAUUCCCGUUAUGGGAGGUCUCGUUCCCGUUCAUGUUCCUACUCUCCUCGCUAUCGGGGCCGUCCUCGGUCAAGGUCAAGGUCAAGGUCAUACUCUCCUGCUCCAAGACGGCGAGAUGACUACUCUGCUUCCCCGCCAAGAUCACAUCACACACAGUCUCCUAGGCGUCUGCCAAAAGGACAUGAAGAAGACGAGCGGAGAUCCUAUUCUCCUGCUGGUAGAGGUGGCGGCGAGCGUGAUGCCAAUACUAAUGGAAAGAGGUCACCACCAUCUGACAUUGAUGGAUCACCUCCACGCAUCCGGAGGUCACCCAGGCAAUCCUCAGGAUCACCCGUGGGGUCGCGCUCAAGGUCCCCUGAAGCUUCUCCUGCCCGCAGCGACUGA